This 420-nucleotide ribosomal RNA is filed under the name uncultured Oscillatoriales cyanobacterium. Its description in RNAcentral is "bacterial SSU rRNA". It matches the Rfam family "Bacterial small subunit ribosomal RNA", at positions 356 to 789 of the family's 1533-position model. Lineage: Bacteria; Bacillati; Cyanobacteriota; Cyanophyceae; Oscillatoriales. The record is from RNAcentral.
GGGGAAUUUUCCGCAAUGGGCGAAUAGCCUGACGGAGCAAGACCGCGUGAGGGAAGAAGGCUCUUGGGUUGUAAACCUCUUUUGUCAGGGAAGAAGAAAGUGACGGUACCUGAAGAAUCAGCCUCGGCUAACUCCGUGCCAGCAGCCGCGGUAAUACGGAGGAGGCAAGCGUUAUCCGGAAUUAUUGGGCGUAAAGCGUCCGUAGGUGGCACAUCAAGUCUGCUGUCAAAGGCUGGGGCUUAACCCCGGAAAGGCAGUGGAAACUGAAGUGCUAGAGUGCCGUAGGGGUAGAGGGAAUUCCCGGUGUAGCGGUGAAAUGCGUAGAGAUCGGGAAGAACAUCGGUGGCGAAAGCGCUCUACUGGACGGCAACUGACACUGAGGGACGAAAGCUAGGGGAGCGAAUGGGAUUAGAUACCCCU